Molecule: ribosomal RNA, 492 nt
Filed under: uncultured bacterium
Lineage: Bacteria
Description: partial 16S ribosomal RNA
Rfam family: Bacterial small subunit ribosomal RNA
Source: RNAcentral
AGUGAACGCUGGCGGUAGGCCUAACACAUGCAAGUCGAACGGCAGCACAGUAAGAGCUUGCUCUUACGGGUGGCGAGUGGCGGACGGGUGAGGAAUACAUCGGAAUCUACUUUUUCGUGGGGGAUAACGUAGGGAAACUUACGCUAAUACCGCAUACGACCUACGGGUGAAAGCAGGGGAUCUUCGGACCUUGCGCGAUUGAAUGAGCCGAUGUCGGAUUAGCUAGUUGGCGGGGUAAAGGCCCACCAAGGCGACGAUCCGUAGCUGGUCUGAAAGGAUGAUCAGCCACACUGGAACUGAGACACGGUCCAGACUCCUACGGGAGGCAGCAGUGGGGAAUAUUGGACAAAGGGCGCAAGCAUGAUCCAGCCAUACCGCGUGGGUGAAGAAGGCCUUCGGGUUGUAAAGCCCUUUUGUUGGGAAAGAAAAGCAGCAGGUUAAUACCCCGCUGUUCUGACGGUACCCAAAGAAUAAGCACCGGCUAACUUCGUG